Molecule: small RNA, 259 nt
Filed under: Arabidopsis thaliana (thale cress)
Lineage: Eukaryota; Viridiplantae; Streptophyta; Magnoliopsida; Brassicales; Brassicaceae
Description: ATSL023180
Source: RNAcentral
AGAAAACAAGAAACUAAGAGAUAUGUACAACAUGUCAAUAAAAAGCACAAAGAGAGGAGACUAAUUUUUACAUUUUUUUUUUCUUGAAUAUCUGGAAGUUCAAGCCCAAAGGCCCUACAUCUUCCAGAGGCGGGACUCACACCAAGUUAAAUUCAUCUCCUUUCGAGAAGAGAUCCCUCCUAACGUGCCUCGAACUCAACUACUCCAUUUGGAAGAUUUAUCACUCGGCUAACAGCUCGUUGGUAGUUUUUACACUUGU